Molecule: ribosomal RNA, 578 nt
Filed under: uncultured bacterium
Lineage: Bacteria
Description: bacterial SSU rRNA
Rfam family: Bacterial small subunit ribosomal RNA
Source: RNAcentral
ACGGGUGAGUAACACGUAGGCAACCUGCCCUCAAGCUUGGGACAACUACCGGAAACGGUAGCUAAUACCGAAUACUUGUUUUCUUCGCCUGAAGAAAACUGGAAAGACGGAGCAAUCUGUCACUUGAGGAUGGGCCUGCGGCGCAUUAGCUAGUUGGUGAGGUAACGGCUCACCAAGGCGACGAUGCGUAGCCGACCUGAGAGGGUGAUCGGCCACACUGGGACUGAGACACGGCCCAGACUCCUACGGGAGGCAGCAGUAGGGAAUCUUCCGCAAUGGGCGAAAGCCUGACGGAGCAAUGCCGCGUGAGUGAUGAAGGUUUUCGGAUCGUAAAGCUCUGUUGCCAGGGAAGAACGCUUAGGAGAGUAACUGCUCCUGAGGUGACGGUACCUGAGAAGAAAGCCCCGGCUAACUACGUGCCAGCAGCCGCGGUAAUACGUAGGGGGCAAGCGUUGUCCGGAAUUAUUGGGCGUAAAGCGCGCGCAGGCGGUCAUUUAAGUCUGGUGUUUAAUCCCGGGGCUCAACCCCGGAUCCCACUGGAAACUGGGUGACUUGAGUGCAGAAGAGGAGAGUGGAAU